AGUAACGGCGAGUGAACAGGGAAAAGCCCAAAUUUGUAAUCUGGCACUUUUUACAAGUGUCCGAGUUGUAAUUUGUAGAACUGUUAUCCGUCCUGGACCAUGUACAAGUCUGUUGAAAAGCAGCAUCAUUGAAGGUGAAAAUCCUGUAGAUGAUAUGGACUACCAGUACUUUUGUGAUACGGUUUCUAAGAGUCGAGUUGUUUGGGAAUGCAGCUCAAAGUGGGUGGUAAAUUCCAUCUAAGGCUAAAUAUAAGUGAGAGACCGAUAGCAAACAAGUACCGUGAGGGAAAGAUGAAAAGAACUUUGAAAAUAGAGUUAACAGUACGUGAAAUUGCUGAAAGGGAAACGUUUGAAGUUAGUUUUGUAUUCGUUGGAUCAGCUUCGCAAGGAGUGUAUUCUGAUGAUAAGCAAGUCAACAUCAGUCUAUGGGUGUCGGAGAAGGGUUUUGAGAAUGUAGCAAUUUAAUUGUGUUAUAGCUUGAGACUUGGAUACGAUGCUUUGGAUUGAGGAACGCGUAGUAAGCUUUGAGCGGAUUCGAAAGGAUCUCCUUACUAUGGAUGUUGGUGAAAUAACUUUAAGCGACCCGUCUU
This 590-nucleotide ribosomal RNA is filed under the name Melampsora salicis-argyraceae. RNAcentral's name for it is "partial large subunit ribosomal RNA". It matches the Rfam family "Eukaryotic large subunit ribosomal RNA", at positions 82 to 655 of the family's 3401-position model. Lineage: Eukaryota; Fungi; Basidiomycota; Pucciniomycetes; Pucciniales; Melampsoraceae. The record is from RNAcentral.